RNAcentral lists this ribosomal RNA (411 nucleotides) under bacterium enrichment culture clone ALO1_GLFRUDD03GWZU7. Its description in RNAcentral is "bacterial SSU rRNA". It matches the Rfam family "Bacterial small subunit ribosomal RNA", at positions 9 to 420 of the family's 1533-position model. The record is from RNAcentral.
GAGUUUGAUCCUGGCUCAGAUUGAACGCUGGCGGCAUGCCUUACACAUGCAAGUCGAACGGCAGCACGGGAGCUUGCUCCUGGUGGCGAGUGGCGAACGGGUGAGUAAUGCAUCGGAACGUAUCCUGGAGUGGGGGACAACGUUUCGAAAGGAACGCUAAUACCGCAUACGUCCUACGGGAGAAAGCAGGGGACCUUCGGGCCUUGCGCUAUCAGAUGAGCCUAGGUCGGAUUAGCUAGUUGGUGAGGUAAAGGCUCACCAAGGCGACGAUCCGUAGCAGGUCUGAGAGGAUGAUCUGCCACACUGGAACUGAGACACGGUCCAGACUCCUACGGGAGGCAGCAGUGGGGAAUUUUGGACAAUGGGGGCAACCCUGAUCCAGCCAUGCCGCGUGAGUGAAGAAGGCCUCGG